RNAcentral lists this unclassified non-coding RNA (2738 nucleotides) under Hevea brasiliensis (rubber tree). The record is from RNAcentral. Lineage: Eukaryota; Viridiplantae; Streptophyta; Magnoliopsida; Malpighiales; Euphorbiaceae.
GAGAGAGGAAGGAUGAGAGAAAAUCACCUGCCCAGGUGCCGUUGUGGUCUGACCUUGUUUUCUAGCAGAUGGUGGCAUCAAAAUGAAGGGCUAGGGUUGGGGUUUUUUAAUCUUUGUUAAAAAAAAAAAAGAAUAUAUCAUUAUAUGCAUGAGGCAAUGCCUCGCAAUGCCUGGCAUCUCUCACCUUUUGUCCCAAGGUGCUCGCCUUUUCAAAUCCAGGCGCGCCUUAGUCAGUCGAGUUCCCACUUCGACGCUUCACCUCACUCAAUGCCUCUCAGCACCUUUAACAACACUGCAUAAGUUAGUGGUGGAAUAAGUGAGAAAGGAAAUUGAGAGAUCUAAAAUGACUUAGAGGGAAGUAGUAUUAAAAGAUUUACAAUUUUUGGAUAUUGAUACAGAAUUUGUUUUAAAUAAAGUUGAAUGGCAAAAAAAGAUUUAUAUAGCCGACUCCAACUAGUUUGUAAUGAAAGCUUAGUUAUUGUUGCAAUCUUCUAUUUUAUCCUAAGCAUCUUGUAGCAUUUGCUUGCAAUUUUUAUGUUGAUUAGUUGUGUGUGUAUUAGAUAUUGUUUUCUUUUUUUUUUUCUUGCCCUUUUCCACUUUAAGUUGGUCAUAUUAAUUUUAUUGAAUGCAUUGACUACCCACUACCCUUCCAUCUGUUUUCUUGCUUUACUACAAUGACUUUUUUUGGCAUUCACAUCGGUGCAUGUGUAUGUAGCAAGUUAUGAGAAUGUAAAUAUUGAAAAUAACAUGAUUAAUGCAUGGUCAAAUAGGAUUCAUGGGAAUCAUUUAGCAGAGAUGCCAUUCAUCGGGACCCGCUACACCUAUAGACGUCAAGGAAUGUGUCGCCGACUUCUGACUGCAAUUGAAAUGGCUCUAUGCUCUUUAGAUGUUGAGAAAUUGGUCAUACCAGCUGUCUCGGAGCUAAGGGAAACAUGGACUUCAGUGUUUGGUUUCAAGCCCAUUGAAGACUCGAGCAAGAAAAUAUUGAGGAACAUGAAUAUGAUGGUGUUCCCUGGUGUUGAUAUGUUACAGAAACCAUUACUGAAGCAUCAGUUUCCUGAAGAAAAUAUGAAUCCAGUACAAGGAUUGAAGCCCGCCGAGCUCAGGGAACUUCAUACCACGGAAGAUGCGACAAGUAGUUUUGUCGAGAGAUCUUCAGCUAGAUUUGAUUUGAAAGGUUCCAGUGAGACCAAUGUACCUUUUGUUGGUGAUGUAAUUGGUGAAUGUGCCACUGCUGAAUCUGGUCUACUUUCUGAUGGGUGCUUGAAUGAGCCAUCUGAUCUCACAAUUCAGGACAAGAGUAAAAUAAAAUGCAAUGAUAAUUUUGGUAUGAUUUCUGAUAAUCUGGAUGAGAGAGAUGAAAAUGUUGUGUCCCCUCUCGAUUCUUCAUGUGAUGCUAAUGAACAAGUGGCAAAGAUUACUGGACAACAGAAUCAUCCGUCUGCUUCCAUUAUUCUGCCCUCUGACAAUGCAUCAAAAAAAGAACUGCAUGUGCAAUCAAACCAGCAUAUUGCAUCAGAGGUAGAAUGUACAUUGCCUGCGGUAUCUCAUAUUGGAUCUGAAUCUGCUAAUUGUUUAGGAGAAUCUCCACAUGCUUCAAGUGGUGAUAUUGAAACGGUUUCUUGUGAAGUGAAAAUAGAAGCUAGCAAUGUUGAACAGAAUCCUGGCUCUGUUGGAGAGGAUUCUGUGCAUGCCACUGCUGAAAUCAUUAGUUCUCAAUUCCCAGACUUGGCUUCUGAGCAUGGAGUAAAAGUUUCAAAAGAGAAUGCUGUUCUCCACGAGUCCAAGACUAGUAAUAUCUCGUAUGAUGUUGUCAAGUCAAUAUCCUCCAAAGCUCACCAAAGAGUACAAGAUGUGUUGAAUGGGCAUUCUGCUGUAUUGCCUCUUGAACAAAAUUUCAGUUCUCUCUGUCAAAGCAAUGGGCCUGAUAACCAUGAAUCAAAACUUUCCCUUGCUAUGGAUAAUUCCAAUUGCAAUGAUCUUUGUCAUGUGGUGGCCUCUGAUAUCAGUGGGGAACCCAAUUUGCAUGGGUUCACGAGUAAUGCACUUUGCAUGUCUACUGAAGUUGCAUCAAGCUCUUGUGGAGAUGGUGUCUAUGACCUGAAAGAUGUGUAUGCCAAAACUCAAAAUGAUGCCCUUUCUGUUGAUGGGGGUUUAGCUUCUGAUAAGGCUCAUAUGAAUACCAAAUUGUUAAAGCCCUCAGGUUCUGAUUUAGAGCUUGAUCAUGCUAGUAGUUCGAGCUCUGCUUCUGGUGUUGCUCUUCACUGUGCCUCUGGCGGGAGCAAUUCAUGUGGUGCACCUGAGGUGAUAAUUCUAUCAAACCAGGCUAAUUGAUUUCUGUUUAAUUCUUUUUGCAGUAGAAAUCAGGUGUUCUUUGGACAACUGGCACCAAUAGAUUUUCUAGACUUUUCAUUAAGCAGAGUUUGUCAUGUCUUGGGAUGCCAGCAUAGCACUUGAACAUUUCAUUAAGUGGUGGUGAUAGCCUCUGCCGGUUUUCGUCAACAAAUUUGUCAUUUUGGCAAUCUAAUCUCAAGAGUGUAGGGAUUUUUUUUUUCCCCUGUUGUCUUCCCCUUUGUUAUGUACAGUUUCAAAGAUCAGCAUUAGUGAAGUAGUGUAGUUUAGCAUGAUGUGAAAUCUAGACGCAAUCGAGGGCUGUGAAUUUUGGACCUCUCUUAUGCUUAUUAUUGUAAAUAGAACAAGUCAUUGUCGAAUUAAUGAAAAUAGUAAUUUCUUUUCAA